CUGCCCUCUCUCAGCGGCUGCCCCCUGGGACUGGGGGACUCCGGCGGGGCUGAGAGGACUGGGUGCCGCCAUUUUGUGACAGAGUGAUGUUUGCUGAGAUGAGUCAAGAAGACUGACGAACGUGGCCUCCCUCUCAACUCAGAGACUUCACAUCAGUACCCUCAGCACAGUAAUCUCAAAGCUUUUAUUAAGCUGAUGGAUCUUCACAGCAGCGUAUCUUUGUUCAUAAAGGUCAAAAGCCUAGGAUUCAAGUCACAAGAGUUAGGAC
This is a long non-coding RNA of Eptesicus fuscus (big brown bat), 268 nucleotides long. RefSeq lists it as uncharacterized. NCBI's taxonomy places the organism in Eukaryota, Metazoa, Chordata, Mammalia, Chiroptera, Vespertilionidae. The transcript has 3 exons. The record is from RefSeq and is a predicted model, not a curated record.